This 465-nucleotide ribosomal RNA is filed under the name uncultured bacterium. RNAcentral's name for it is "partial 16S ribosomal RNA". It matches the Rfam family "Bacterial small subunit ribosomal RNA", at positions 338 to 795 of the family's 1533-position model. The record is from RNAcentral.
CCUACGGGUGGCAGCAGUGGGGAAUAUUGCGCAAUGGGCGAAAGCCUGACGCAGCGACGCCGCGUGAGGGAUGAAGGUCUUCGGAUCGUAAACCUCUGUCAGCAGGGAAGAACGGUCACUGUGCUAAUCAGCAGUGAAUUGACGGUACCUGCAAAGGAAGCACCGGCUAACUCCGUGCCAGCAGCCGCGGUAAUACGUAGGGGGCAAGCGUUAUCCGGAUUUACUGGGCGUAAAGGGAUCGUAGACGGCAAGGCAAGUCUGGGGUGAAAGCCCGUGGCUCAACCACGGGACUGCUUUGGAAACUGGGUAGCUGGAGUGCGGGAGGGGUAAGCGGAAUUCCAAGUGUAGGAGUGAAAUGCGUAGAUAUUAGGAGGAACACCAGUGGCGAAGGCGACUUACUGGCAUGUAACUGACGUUGAGGCUCGAAGGCGUGGGGAGCAAACAGGAUUAGAUACCCCGGUAGUC